AGGAAAAGAAACUAACAAGGAUUCCCCUAGUAACUGCGAGUGAAGCGGGAAAAGCUCAAAUUUAAAAUCUGGUAGUCUCUGGCUGCCCGAGUUGUAAUCUAGAGAAGCAUUAUCCGCGCUGGACCGUGUAUAAGUGUCCUGGAAUGGACCAUCAUAGAGGGUGAGAAUCCCGUCUUUGACACGGACGCCCAGGGCUUUGUGAUGUGCUCUCAAAGAGUCGAGUUGUUUGGGAAUGCAGCUCUAAAUGGGUGGUAAAUUCCAUCUAAAGCUAAAUAUUGGCGAGAGACCGAUAGCGAACAAGUACCGUGAGGGAAAGAUGAAAAGAACUUUGGAAAGAGAGUUAAACAGUACGUGAAAUUGCUGAAAGGGAAACGCUUGAAGUCAGUCGCGUUGGCUGGGGAUCAACCUUGCUUUUGCUUGGCUUACUUCCCAGUUGACGGGUCAGCAUCAGUUUUGACCGGUGGAUAAAGGCUAGGGGAAUGUGGCACCUCCGGGUGUGUUAUAGCCCUUGGUCAUAUACACUGGUUGGGACUGA
RNAcentral lists this ribosomal RNA (535 nucleotides) under Termitomyces subumkowaan. Its description in RNAcentral is "eukaryotic LSU rRNA". It matches the Rfam family "Eukaryotic large subunit ribosomal RNA", at positions 54 to 589 of the family's 3401-position model. The record is from RNAcentral. Lineage: Eukaryota; Fungi; Basidiomycota; Agaricomycetes; Agaricales; Lyophyllaceae.